Long non-coding RNA from Cyanistes caeruleus (blue tit), 828 nucleotides. RefSeq lists it as uncharacterized. NCBI's taxonomy places the organism in Eukaryota, Metazoa, Chordata, Aves, Passeriformes, Paridae. The record is from RefSeq and is a predicted model, not a curated record.
UGCAGAGAAACAUGCUUGUUUCUGCCUUUCCCAAGGGGAGACCCUGAAGCUCCAGCAGAGCAGUGCCAAGAGGAGACACUGGGAAAGGGAGAGCUCAUGCGUGGAGGAGAUGAGGAGAGAGGUAGCAGGACAAAAGGAGUUCUUAGAUUAUCAAGCCUUUACAGACCAGUCAAGUGAUCUUAAUACAAAAUGGGAUUGAUUUCUGAGGGCUUUCCUCAGGUCUCUGGUAUUGACUGUUUACCCAUGUUCUCCCUUCCUGUUCAGACACAGCCAUGCCAUGGCCUUAAAAUUGGGUUACAGGCCAGGAAGAGGAGAUGACCAUAGGACUGACAGAGCGACACAGACAAUUCAAACAGCCUGCAACAGCUGAAGGGACAAAGAAGACAAUCUUUUUGCCUCAGGAUGAAUUUGCCAUGUCCUCUUCCUCCAUUCUUUCAUUCUGAGUUAAAGGAAUGCUCCUAGCAGUGCACUGCCUGUGAAAAGAGGUUGUGCUGACUGCCCAGCAGGCACAUAUGCUUGUUUAAAGUUCUGUUGGGAAGAAAGUUUGCAGACAGUGCAGUGUGAUCUGUUGCAGUCUGAACAUGCAUCCACAAUGUGCAUCUGAACUUCUCCCCUCAUCCCUACCCCUUACUAGUGAAAACUGACCCUCCAAAAUGGAAAUGUUUUGGGAAGUGGAAGAAAUGAUGAAUAAUUUAUUGAUUUAUUUUUGCGAAGUUCUUGUAUAUUUUUAGGGUUUAAAAAUAUAAAGGGAGUCAGUCCCAAAUUGGUUCUAGUGAGUCUUCAAAUGCUCACUGCUAAAUCUUUUCCCAUUGAUGCAUGGAAAAAAAU